AUCAGAGGCGUCUGGCAUCUAACUCGUGGCUACGAUCUUUGCCAUAACGGUGAAGCGGUCGUUCUGGAAGGCCCCAUAUCCCCACCUUUAUGAACAU
RNAcentral lists this small RNA (97 nucleotides) under Enterobacter hormaechei. RNAcentral describes it as "isrI". It matches the Rfam family "isrI Hfq binding RNA". Lineage: Bacteria; Pseudomonadati; Pseudomonadota; Gammaproteobacteria; Enterobacterales; Enterobacteriaceae. The record is from RNAcentral.